CAGCUUGGGGAGUCCUUCGGGGCUGAGAUUGCUUUUAGCUAAACCCAUUAAACCUGUGUAGAUAAUCCUACCGUAGGGAAGCUUUGG
This 87-nucleotide non-coding RNA is filed under the name human gut metagenome. RNAcentral describes it as "TPP riboswitch (THI element)". It matches the Rfam family "TPP riboswitch aptamer (THI element)", at positions 7 to 92 of the family's 105-position model. Rfam says of the family: Vitamin B(1) in its active form thiamin pyrophosphate (TPP) is an essential coenzyme that is synthesised by coupling of pyrimidine and thiazole moieties in bacteria. The previously detected thiamin-regulatory element, thi box was extended, resulting in a new, highly conserved RNA secondary structure, the THI element, which is widely distributed in eubacteria and also occurs in some archaea. Analysis of operon structures identified a large number of new candidate thiamin-regulated genes, mostly transporters, in various prokaryotic organisms. The record is from RNAcentral.